GAUGAACGCUAGCGGCAGGCCUAAUACAUGCAAGUCGAACGGUAACAUGAGUAGCAAUACUUGAUGACGAGUGGCGCACGGGUGCGUAACACGUAUGUAAUCUUCCCACAACUGGGGGAUAGCCCGGAGAAAUCCGGAUUAAUACCCCAUAACACAACGAAGUGGCAUCACUUUGUUGUUAAAUCUCCGGAGGUUGUGGAUGAACAUGCGUCCGAUUAGCUAGUUGGCGGGGUAACGGCCCACCAAGGCAACGAUCGGUAGGGGUACUGAGAGGUUAAACCCCACACUGGAACUGAGACACGGUCCAGACUCCUACGGGAGGCAGCAGUAAGGAAUAUUGGACAAUGGAGG
RNAcentral lists this ribosomal RNA (351 nucleotides) under uncultured bacterium. Its description in RNAcentral is "bacterial SSU rRNA". It matches the Rfam family "Bacterial small subunit ribosomal RNA", at positions 28 to 377 of the family's 1533-position model. The record is from RNAcentral.